GGGAUGAUGGAGAUGAUGGUGAGGAGAGGAGAAAUGUGAUUAGCAAUGGACGUAGUAGUGAAGUGGUUGUGGAGGUUGAUGAAGAAGAGAGCGGAGCUGAUGAUGAUGAUGGAGAUGUGAUGAGGAAUGGGCGCGGUGAAGGGGUUGAUGAAGAAGAGAGCGGAGCUGAUGAUGACGACAGAGAUGAGAGGCCUGAAGUGAUGGGCAAUGGGCACAGUGAAGGGGCUGAUGAAGAAGAGAGCGGAGCUGAUGAUGAGGGAGAAGAUGGUGAGGAGAGGCCAAAUGUGAUGAGAAAUGGGCGGAAUGAAGGGGUUGUGGAGGGUGAUGAAGAAGAGAGCGGAGCUGAUGACGACGACGGAGAUGAGAGGCCUGAAGUGAUGAGCAAUGGGCAUAGUGAAGGGGUUGAUGAGGAAGAGAGCGGAGCCGAUGAUGAUGAUGAUGGUGAGGAGAGGCCAAAUGUGAUGAGCAAUGGGCGGAAUGAAGAGGUUGUGGAGGGUGAU
Molecule: long non-coding RNA, 500 nt
Filed under: Brassica rapa (field mustard)
Lineage: Eukaryota; Viridiplantae; Streptophyta; Magnoliopsida; Brassicales; Brassicaceae
Description: long non-coding RNA (BRAP_LNC000030)
Source: RNAcentral